Molecule: long non-coding RNA, 4322 nt
Organism: Bos taurus (domestic cattle)
Lineage: Eukaryota; Metazoa; Chordata; Mammalia; Artiodactyla; Bovidae
Source: Ensembl
CCAAACACCUUACUGUAGUAAAUGUCACAUUUCUCCCCAAGCUUUUGUACUAUUGUUUAUAUACAUUUUGCUUCUACAUUUAACCCUGUAGUGCAUUGUUAUUGAUUUUACUAAAAUUUCUGUUUUUCUUUGUAUCAUGUUUAUGAUUUUCUCUACUUCCUGGAAUAUUAAUAGCUGUUUUAAUGAUCUUGUCUGCAGUCAUUCUCUUGGGGCAGUUUGUACCAACAAGGUAUAUUUGGCAUUGCCUAGAGAUACUUUGUGGAGAAGGCAAUGGCACCCCACUCCAGUACUCUUGCCUGGAAAAUCGCAUGGACGGAGGAGCCUGGUAGGCUGCAGUCCAUGGGGCCGCUAAGAGUCGGACACGACUGAGCGACUUCACUUUCACUUUUCACUUUCAUGCACUGGAGAAGGAAAUGGCAACCCACUCCAGUGUUCUUGCCUGAAGAAUCCCAGGGACAGGGCAGCCUGGUGGGCUGCUGUCUGGGGUCACACAGAGUCAGACAGGACUGAGGUGACUUAGCAGCAGCAGCAGAGAUACUUUGAGUGUCACAUCUGGGAACAAUGUUGCAUCUAGUGGAUAUAGGCCAGGGAUGCUGCUAAAUAUUCUAUUAUAUAUGCAAGAAAUAAGUACCACACCCAGAAUUUCAGCAGUACCAAGGUUAUGAAAUCUUGGUCUGGGGCUCAUUUGGUGCCACUGUUGAGGCAUUACCAUUCUAAGAACUCUGCCUAAUUCUUUGUCUCUUAGGAAAUUUUUCUGUUGUGUCUGAUGAAAGCAGACUGUACCUGGACCUAUGUUAGGAUGUUUCCACUAAUUCUUGUCUAGUGACUUUUUUCCCCUGGCCCUGUUAGAUUCUUUAUAUACUUUAUGCAGAUCGGUCUAAUAUGAUUGAUUUCAGGGAAUCAUUGUAUAUACCUCCAGAGCGCUUCCUCCUCUCUGUGCAUCUCUUUCCUCUUUUUUUUGCCUCACAAAUUCUAGUCACAUAAACCUACCUAAACUUUGAACUGUCUCCUAAGUAAAGCUAUUGCGCUAUUUUGUUGUCCCUUCCUCUUGCAUUAUAAUUUGGAAACUCUUCAACCAGUGAGCUGUGCACUUAGAGCACUCAUUUGUGUUUUCUCUCAGGUAUUAAUAUCCUGUACUGCUCUUUGUCCAUUGCCUGAAACCUUUGUUUCACAUCUGUUUUGUCCAGUUUUCUAGUUUAAUAUAGAAAAAUAAAUCUAAUUCCUGUUAUUUUGUAAUGGUAGGAAAUAGAAGUUCUUUAUAUCGAUGCUUGGUUUAUCCUUACUUUGCUUAGUGGAAGCCCCUUCAAGUUGUUUCCUGUGUUUUUUUGGCAUGUAAGUCCUUUCUGUAGUAGUGAGGAAGGUGGUUUCUUAGUUUCCACAAUAUAUUUAUUUUCUCAGCCCCAGAGUACACAGAAGUUCAGUUCAAAAUUGCUGGUUGAUACGUCUGCAAAACACAAGUAUAUUUGGCUAAAUAAAUUAGCCAAACUAAUUUAUGUUUGAAGUUCUUUUUUCUUUAGCCUGAGGGCAUAUGGUUUCAAAACUAAGUUUGCAAGUUAUCUGGGAUAUUGUUAGCAAAAAUGGCUGACUAAGGACAUCCAAGAAUUACCUUUCUCCUCUAAAAGCAGUGGAGAAAGCUGUUCAUAGUGUCAGAAUUGACGUUUUCAGAACUGCAGAAUUAACCAAAAGUUUACUAAGGGUUGUUAUUUAUUAAAAAUGGCUGAAACUUGAUAGAGUAUCUUUGUGACAUUUUAACUUGCUCUAUUCUCAUUCCCCACUCCCCAAGUCCAUGGUGUCUUGAAAAUCAGCAGCCCACAAUCAUGAUGAAAACCUGCAGCCUGACAGAUACUGGAGGAGCCAGAAGAAGGAAUGUAACUUUACUUGGGUGGCGUCUAUUUUGAGAAUAAUCAGCCCUGGAGAAAUAAGUGUCCUGAUUGACUGACCGCUGUCACAAGGAGAGGGUCGUAAAUUGUCAGCAGGCCCCCCUGGCCAGAAGAUGAUGUAACACCCCUAAGACCUCUGUAUACAUUUGUGUGAAGCACCUGACUUUAAUAAAAGUCAGGACUGCUGUCCCCACGUGACUUUUGUAUAACAUCUUAGUGUAUAAAAACAGACUCUGGAAAAUAAAGAAUUGGGAUCAGUUUCUCAAAAUACUGGUCUCCCCAUGUCUCUCUCUCCCUCCGGCUGAGUCUCCAUCUGGAGCGCGGAACCCACCAAGCUUACUAAUUUUGCCUGGGCUUCUAAGAUCCGACCGGGGAGGCCUCAGUGUCUCCUCUCCUUCGGGAGAACGGAAGGACGCCUGCGGCCUACGUAAGUGGUGCAAGCUUCUUGUCUUGAAGUUUUAUUGGUCCCCCGCGUAAACCAAGCUACUCAGCCUCUUUUCUCCACUGAAUUUUCCUACUGAGCUAUCCUUAUUCUAUUACUCUUUAUAUCUCUAAUUAAUAUCUAAUUGAAACUAUCGUAUCCUGACCCUCGCCGACGCCGUCUCUCCUUCGAGUACCCUGGAUCAGCUGGGGCUGGUCCCCGGCACAUGGGAGCAUUAUUCAUAAUAGAGAAAAAGAGGAAAGAACCCAAAUAUCCAUCCGUUGAUGACUGGAUAAAUGGUAUAUACAUGCAGUGGCAUAUUAUUGAGCCAUUAAAAAAGAAUGGAGUAUUGAUACAUAUUGUGACAUGGAUGAAUUAGAGUUCUGUUUAUGUGAAAUGUCUGGAAUAGGUAAAUCCAUUGAGAUCAAAAGUAGGUUAGUGGCUGAGAAGGGCUGAGGGGGAGAGGAAUAGGGAGUGCCUGUUAAUGGAUGUGACAUUUCUUUAAGGACUGGAUGUGUUCUGAAAUUGGAUAUUGUAGUGUUGGUUCCACAACUUUGUGAAUAUACAAAAAUCCACUGAAUUGUAUGCUUUGUAAGGAUGCAUAUUACUGUAUGUGAAUUAUAUCUCAUUUUUUUAAAAUAAUAAUAACAUUUUACCUGGGUUAGUGUAUUUUUUCCCCCACUCUUCUUCCUUCCAUAUAGUACUUCAUUUGAAAUGCAUUUUAGUUCAAAUAUUUCUGAUUGUAUUUUAUUUUAAGGAUUAUUUUCUAUAUCCUUGGUAAUUGUAUUUACUUUUUUCUUUAUGUAUGUGAAACGUUAAUAUUGUUCUGUAUGUUAAGAGCUCCAUAAAACAGUAUACUCAGAGAAGUGGCAGCUCUGCUCUUCAAAUUGUUUAUUUCCGUUUCACCCCAAGCCCUCCCUCCCCAUGUAGAUAAUCAGCCUCAUUCAUCCUUAGUGUAUUCUUCCUGUGUUUUUAUUUGCAGACUAAUAAAUGUUAAUUUUUUAUUUCCCCUUUCUUACAUAAAAAUUGAAAUUUUCUAGAUGCUUGUAUAAUCCUUGGUUUCUUCAUUUAAAAAAGGAGUUCCCUGGUGGCUCAGACAGUAAAGCGUCUGUCUACAAUGCAGGAGACCUGGGUUUGAUCCCUAGGUUGGGAAGAUUCCCUGGAGAAGGAGAUGGCAACCCACUCCAGUACUCCUGCCUAGAAAAAUUCCAUGGACAGAGAAGCCUGGUAUCCAUGGGGUCGCAAAGAGUCGGACACAACUGAGCAACUUCACGUUCACGUUCUUCAUUUAAAAAUGUUGGGAGAUAGCCAACAUACCCAGAAUAUCCAACUCAAGUGUUGAAAAUAAUUUGCACGAACUUGGCCAAGUUAAUCUCUUUGACAUUUGGGUUCCACAUAAGUGAAAAAACCUUCUUGACUAUAUUUCUGCAUGCAAUUCUCUACCUCAAAGUAAUGAAAAUAUUGUGUUUUUAAAACAAAUUGUGAUAAGUGAUGAAAAGUGAAUACUGUAUAAUGUUGUAGAACAGAAGAGAUCCUGCGGCAAGCAGAAUGAACCACCAACCACACCAAAGGCCAAACUUUAUCCAAAGAAGGUGAUGUUGUGUAUAUGGUGUGAUUGAAAGGGAGUCCUCUUAUGAGCACCUUCUGGAAAACCAAAUGAUUAUUUCCAACAAAUAUUGCUCCCAGUUAGACCAACUGAAAGCACUCAAAGAAUAGUGUCUGGAAUUAGUCAACAGAAAAUGCAUAAUCAGCUUACCAUAAGACUGCAUAUUUCUUUGAUGACCAGAUAAAAACUGUUAAAGCCUGGCUGGGAAGUUCUGAUUCAUCUACCAUUUUCACCAGACAUUGCACCUUCACAUGUCCAGUUAUUUCAGUCUUUACAAAAUUCUCUUAAUGCAAAAAGCUUCCGUUUCCUAGAAGACUGAAAAGGCACCUGGAAUAGUUCUUUGCUCAAAAAGAGAGAAAGUUUUGGGAUGAUGGAAUGACAAAGUUGCCUGAAAAAUGCCAGAAGGUAGUGGAAC